RNAcentral lists this unclassified non-coding RNA (2036 nucleotides) under Hevea brasiliensis (rubber tree). Lineage: Eukaryota; Viridiplantae; Streptophyta; Magnoliopsida; Malpighiales; Euphorbiaceae. The record is from RNAcentral.
CUUGGACCUUGGUGUUGAGAACAUGCUUUCUCUACUAGUUACUUCUCAUGUGUUCUAAACUUGUUUGGUGGGUGUUCCAGAAGAGAGUUGAGUCUUACUUCAGAUGGGUAGGCAACAAGGAGACUUGGUCUUCUAAGCCUCUUUUUGCAUCAGCCUCUGCAUCAACUCCUUUGGAUAGUCAACGAUACUAUAUGGAUGGUUUGAGAGGUUUCCGCUGGCUGUGUAUCAAGGGUGAAAGCGAUUUUGCUAAGACAGUAUCACUGUGAACGGUUUUGUUGUAUGCGGUUUUGGAAGGUAGAGGGCAGGUUUUUGUGGGUUGCUUUCCUAGUUUUAGCCUUUGGUCCUUACGCUACUUCGGAGCAGGUAGCCCGUUGGCUGUUACCGUCGCCUGUAGAGGCAAGAAUGCAUCAAUCAUUUCUCCGUUCCUCCAAAACUGCAAUAACUGUCACUCGCUUCGCCAUCUCGCAAGAAGCACAAUCACUCUUCUUCCACUCUUCUUCAGCCCAUCACCGCCAGCAACAGCAGCAAGAACAAAAAGGUGAAAAACAAAAGCAACAGAAACUAAAGCAAGAAUCUUCUAAUUCCAUUGACAUCUCCAAAUCCCCAAUUGGGUCGCCAUCUCGAGUCCAGAAACUCAUAGCUUCCCAAUCAGAUCCUCUCCUCGCCAAAGAAAUCUUCGAUUUCGCUUCUCGCCAACCUAAUUUUCAACAUUCUUACUCUUCGUAUCUCGUCCUUAUUCUCAAACUUGGCCGUUCCAAAUACUUCUCCCUCAUAGAUGACCUUCUAGUUGACUUAAAAUCCAAACAUUAUCCAGUUACUUCAACUUUUUUUUCUUACAUAAUCAAAAUCUAUGGUGAGGCCAACUUGCCAGAUAAGGUUCUCAAAACUUUCUAUAAAAUGCUUGAAUUUAACUUCAAGCCUUUGCCCAAACAUCUCAAUCGCAUUCUUGAAUUUCUUGUUUCUCACCGGAACUAUAUAAAAACUGCUUUGGAUCUUUUCAAUAAUGCUCAUAGAUAUGGUGUUUCGCCCAACACUAAAUCAUAUAACAUUUUGAUGCGAGCUUUUUGUUUAAGUGGGGAACUUAGUAUUGCAUACAAGCUGUUCAAUCAAAUGUUCAAAAGAGAUGUUUUGCCGGAUGUUGAAUCGUACCGAAUUUUGAUGCAGGGAUUGUGUAGGAAAAGUCAGGUUAAUGGAGCUGUUGAUUUUUUGGAGGACAUGUUGAAUAAAGGGUUUGUGCCGGAUACUUUGAGUUAUACUACUUUGUUGAAUAGUUUGUGUAGGAAAAAGAAGCUUAAGGAAGCAUAUAAGCUUCUCUGUAGAAUGAAGGUUAAGGGGUGCAACCCGGAUAUCGUUCAUUAUAAUACGGUUAUAUUGGGGUUUUGCAGAGAUGGGUGUGCAAUGGAUGCUUGUAAGGUUCUUGAAGAUAUGGAGUCUAAUGGAUGCUUGCCGAAUUUAGUGUCUUAUAGGACUUUGGUUGGUGGAUUAUGUGAUCAAGGGAUGUUUGUUGAGGCAAAGCGUUAUUUGGAGGAAAUGAUAUCAAAGGGGUUUUCCCCACAUUUUUCAGUUUCUCAUGCGUUGUUGAAGGGGCUCAGCGAAGUUGGUAAGAUUGAAGAAGCAUGUAGAGUGUUGGAGGAAUUGCUAAAGCAUGGAGAGGCUCCUCAUACAGACACUUGGAUGAUUAUAUUACCUAGGAUAUGUGAAGUGGAUGACUUGGGGAGGGUGGGAGAAAUUUUGGAUAAGGUCAUGAUGGUAGAAAUAAAGGGCGACACACGAAUAGUAGAAGCGGGUGUUCGCUUGGAAGAGUACUUGAUCAAGAAGAUACAAACAAAAUGGCGAGUUUGAAUGCUUUUUGGCAUAUUGACGGUUUAUUUCAACUCUAAGCAGAGAUUUUGCAAAUUUUUAAUUCCAGAUUGACCAUGAUUCAUAUUCAUUUUCUUCUAUCUACAUAUUAUGGUUUUCAGUGUAUUGAAUAAUGUUGUACCAAUGAGUUUUCUUUAGAAGAAUGAAAAUAUUGUUGGCUCUGCAUGAUGAAAUUA